Molecule: unclassified non-coding RNA, 187 nt
Filed under: uncultured fungus
Lineage: Eukaryota; Fungi
Description: sequence contains ITS1
Source: RNAcentral
UUGACUUUAGUACAGCUGCUCAGAGAGGCCAUGCAAAACGCCUUGGUUUGGGUACCUCCGGCGGGCGCCCCGGGAGGGGCUCGCGCGGCCGUGGGGCCGGCCCGCCGAAGCAACGGCUGGUAAGUUCACAGUGGUGUGGGAGUUUUGCAACUCUGUAAUGAUCCCUCCGCUGGUUCACCAACGGAGA